GACGAACGCUGGCGGCGUGCUUAACACAUGCAAGUCGAACGGAAAGGCCCUGCUUUUGUGGGGUGCUCGAGUGGCGAACGGGUGAGUAACACGUGAGUAACCUGCCCUUGACUUUGGGAUAACUUCAGGAAACUGGGGCUAAUACCGGAUAGGAGCUCCUGCUGCAUGGUGGGGGUUGGAAAGUUUCGGCGGUUGGGGAUGGACUCGCGGCUUAUCAGCUUGUUGGUGGGGUAGUGGCUUACCAAGGCUUUGACGGGUAGCCGGCCUGAGAGGGUGACCGGCCACAUUGGGACUGAGAUACGGCCCAGACUCCUACGGGAGGCAGUAGGGGGGAAUAUUGCACAAUGGGCGGAAGCCUGAUGCAGAAACGCCGCGUUCGGGAUGACGGCCUUCGGGUUGUAAACCGCUUUCGCCUGUGACGAAGCGUGAGUGACGGUAAUGGGUAAAGAAGCAUCGGCUAACUACGUG
Molecule: ribosomal RNA, 468 nt
Filed under: uncultured bacterium
Lineage: Bacteria
Description: partial 16S ribosomal RNA
Rfam family: Bacterial small subunit ribosomal RNA
Source: RNAcentral